UAUCUAUCUAUCUAUCUAUCUAUCAUUUGUUUCCUUAUUUAUUUACUUCUUACCUUUUUUUAACCUAAGUUGGGUCGAACUGUGUCACCCUAUGGCAGUGAAGUCAAACUCAUUUUAAUUCAUUUCAUGCGAAUGUGGUUUGGAAGAAACAAACCCUCCAACACGCGCUCUAAACUUUCAUAUCCUCAGAGACCUCUUAACCAGACUGAACAGACUGAACCAGUGACAGAGCUCAACACCAUAGAUCAGUGUAUGUCAAUGCGGGACCAUCGGUUUAUCCUGGCGGGUGGAAAAUAUCUGAAAAUAUUUACAAUAAUGAAGAUGUGAUUCAAACUUUGGAGACAAACAGGAGUGGAGCUGCUGUCUCAGGUGCUGGAUCAGUAAAGAAGACCUCUUACAGAGUUGUUGCAGUGUUUCUGGGUCUGCUGUGUCUUCUCCUGGCUGGAUUCAUAGCGAUGGCAUUAUUUUUCAUCCAAGGCAAUUCUCAGCUGCAAACGAAGAUGGACCUGUUACAGACCAGUUACGACAACCUGACCAGAGAGAAAGCUGAACUGCAGAGGACAUUUGAUGACAUGGCCAAACAGAGAAUUCUUCUCAAUUCAAAGCGCCACAGAUGAUGUCGAUUGUCAACAAAAACAAUGGACGUGCUUUGGUGGUAGUUGCUACUACAUUUCGCGAAGCACAAAGUCCUGGCAGGAAAGUAAAGUGACUGUCAGCAGAGAGGAGCAGACCUGAUCAUCAUCAACAGUCCAGAAGAACAGGAAUUUGUAAUACAGUUCGAAAGGUCCAGAUGGAUCGGACUGACUGACAGAGAGAGAGAAGGGACAUGGAAAUGGGUGGAUGGGACUCCGCUGACCACAAG
Mugil cephalus (flathead mullet) is the source of this 862-nucleotide long non-coding RNA. RefSeq lists it as uncharacterized. The record is from RefSeq and is a predicted model, not a curated record. The transcript is spliced from 5 exons. Lineage: Eukaryota; Metazoa; Chordata; Actinopteri; Mugiliformes; Mugilidae.